This 750-nucleotide long non-coding RNA is filed under the name Fukomys damarensis (Damara mole-rat). RNAcentral's name for it is "lncRNA (ENSFDAG00000031193.1)". Lineage: Eukaryota; Metazoa; Chordata; Mammalia; Rodentia; Bathyergidae. The record is from RNAcentral.
GCUCAAGAGGAUCAAAGACCAGGAAAGUGCUGUGUAAGGAGAAGCAGGCUGUCUACAGGAGAGGCGACUGGGCUCCUCAGAUGAAAGGAAAGUGUGUGCCCUGCCACCAGGGAGGGUGCUCAAGGGCAACCCAAGUGGAACUCAGGUCCACCUUGGUGCUCAUUAAAUUUGUGUCUUCACAGCAACCCCAGAGACAGUAUUUGUGACCCUCCUGGCAUUUUUACAGGCUGAGAGAGGCCACACCAGUGAGGAGAGGGCAGGCCUCAAGCCGGAGCCACCGUCCACCAGCAUGGAGCCCUGCUGGUGAGCUCACAGAAGAGAAGAACUCGGCCAGUGGUGUCCCCUGCCCCAUGCUGGACCAUGAGCAGGUAGGUCCUGUGGGUGAGCUGUGCCAUGUAGGGUUACCAUCAGUCCCACUCACAUACCAAGUCUACCCAGCGCUGCUGGGGACCUGUGAGCAGCCACUGUCUGGCACCAGAUGUGGGUACUGAGUCAGAAAAUCAGGAGUCAUGCCUGGGAGCUGCUCCAACCUCACAGUUCCAGAACCCUGAGGAGCACAGGAAUCCAUCUGUCAGCGUACCAGGGCGGUCACAUGCCACAGUCAGUGGAAGGUGACACCAAGGCAUGACAGUCUCCUGGGAGAACUUCUGACCCAUUUGAGGAGAAUGAAAUUCUAGCAAAAAAAAAAAAAAAGGUAUUUUAUUAGAUGCGGUAAUUUCUUGCCAACUUGCUUUUGCCAAUUGCAGUUUU